Long non-coding RNA from Hippopotamus amphibius kiboko, 340 nucleotides. RefSeq lists it as uncharacterized. The record is from RefSeq and is a predicted model, not a curated record. The transcript has 3 exons. NCBI's taxonomy places the organism in Eukaryota, Metazoa, Chordata, Mammalia, Artiodactyla, Hippopotamidae.
CCAAGGGCGGCCUCGUAGGCGGGACAGAACUAGACACGGGGGCGCAGGCUCGGCGAGGCUGACCCUCCCCUUCUCCACCGAGCUCUCUCACCUCCAACAGGCGCGCUCCGGACAAGAAAACAAAAGCUCAGAGAGGUGAAGUGACUUGCCCAAAGUCACACAGCCUAUAAGCAGCAGACUGGGAUUUGAUCUCAGACAAGUAGAAUUACAGCCGCCCGCAGCUCCUCGUUGGACCGCCGCAGGGCCUGGAGCUCCUUGACCCCCUCGCUCAGGCUGCGCCGCAGCUCGCCCGCCUCCUGGCGCUGGGCCUCACGGCUGUCCUGACUCUCACGCACCUUGC